AAUGGGUGGUGAAUUCCAUCUAAAGCUAAAUAUUGGCGAGAGACCGAUAGCGAACAAGUACCGUGAGGGAAAGAUGAAAAGCACUUUGGAAAGAGAGUUAAACAGUACGUGAAAUUGCUGAAAGGGAAACGCUUGAAGUCAGUCGCGUCGGCCGGAACUCAGCCUUGCUUUCGCUUGGUGUACUUUCCGGUCGACGGGCCAGCAUCGAUUUCGAUCGUCGGAAAAAGGCAGAGGGAAUGUGGCACCUUCGGGUGUGUUAUAGCCCUCUGUUGCAUACGACGGUUGGGAUCGAGGUUCGCAGCACGCCUUUAUGGUCGGGGUUCGCCCACGUUCGUGCUUAGGAUGCUGGCGUAAUGGCUUUAAACGACCCGUCUUGAAACACGGACCAAGGAGUCUAACAUGCCUGCGAGUGUUUGGGUGGAAAACCCGAGCGCGUAAUGAAAGUGAAGGUCGGGACCUCUGUCAUGGAGGGCACCGACGCCCGGACCUGAAGUUCUCUGACGGCUCCGCGGUAGAGCAUGUAUGUUGGGA
RNAcentral lists this non-coding RNA (531 nucleotides) under Gelatoporia subvermispora B. Its description in RNAcentral is "Eukaryotic large subunit ribosomal RNA". It matches the Rfam family "Eukaryotic large subunit ribosomal RNA", at positions 291 to 814 of the family's 3401-position model. Lineage: Eukaryota; Fungi; Basidiomycota; Agaricomycetes; Polyporales; Gelatoporiaceae. The record is from Rfam by way of RNAcentral.